GGAUGAAAAUGAGUCUGUUUGGGAGUUGAAGUGCUGGGAUUAUACUCCAUUCGCAGAUGAUUAUGAGUUUCUCAACUCUGUAGCUGCUAGAAAAAUGAAAUUGUUUUCAUGACUACAAUUUAUUGUUACAUUCUUAACACCGACAAGACUACCUGGAAGCGAAUUUAUUUUGCUGAGUUCGUUGAACGCGAUUUUUUUUAUUGUCUUUCCAUACAAGAAAAGCCUUCUCCCUUGUAACUGAUUCUACAUUCAUCAAGAGGGGAUGGAAAUAAAGCGAGAAGCAUGAUGCUUGCUCUGGUGGGUUUCUUUUCAGUUUGAAAACAUUUCUGGUGGGACUCUUAUUCUCCAGUUUUAAAAGUUUCUUUUACUUUGGAUAUUUUAGUUUCCCUGCUAUGUACUCGAGGAGUAACAGUUGUUUAUGUAUUUCUUUUGUUGCAUAUCCUGGAUAUGUUGAGCGUUUUAACAUUAUCCCGUAUGAACUCGUAGAGUAACAGUGGUUUAUGUAUUUCUUUUGUUGCAUAUCCUGGAUGUGUUGAGUGUUUUAACAUUAUUGUCUUACCCUUGUAAUUCUACCUUGUGUUUGAUUGCUGUCUUCCCAUUGCAGUUUGCAUUACCGACAAGCAUUUUUUGGGGGGCAUUCACUCUGUGAGAUGUUGUCUACUCGAUAGGACUUACAGGCGAAUAAGAAUUCUUCGCAUCUGACAUUUCGUUCAUUGGUUUCACAGGAUAGUUUUACAUGAGCCAUAGGCUGUUCUUCAAGAAUCUUUCCCACAAUGAUAACAGUAUACAUCAUUCUAGCACCGACUACUAGGAAUUCAAGUUCACUUGUUUCUCUAUGAUCCCGUGAACUCUACGGAAAACAGACUCUUCUUUUACACAUCGAUGCUUCUUGCCUGUACUAUCAAUGCUUCUUGCCUGUAGUGGUUUGAGGUUUCCAGUCCGUUGUACCAAAUUUCCAUCUCCUUUGUUGCAUUGUCUAAAAGCUCACCCUCCUCUUGCUGUUUUCACAUCAACAAUCUCAUUGAAUAUCUGAAUGCACUUCCUAGCAUGUUUCCUCUUGAUCACAUUCACAGCGUAUAUUGAACAGAGCUCGGUUUAGGAGAAAGAGGCGAACUCUGGGCGUUUUCUUCUUGAUCUUAUUGCUAUUUUAUUUGAUCUGCCUUCCAACAGCUCCUCACCUUUCCACUCUCAAUUUAUCUUUCGUUUGGCCAAAUCUUGUUCUUUCUCUCUAUCUCUCUGCCUGUAGAUUUUAUGUUCAAAAAUAUAUGUAUUUCGUAUGUUUUAAGAGUUAACAACUAACUCAUAUAUAUGAAUAGUAAAGAACCGGUUACAACCAACCA
This is a non-coding RNA of Malus domestica (apple), 1340 nucleotides long. NCBI's taxonomy places the organism in Eukaryota, Viridiplantae, Streptophyta, Magnoliopsida, Rosales, Rosaceae. The record is from RefSeq and is a predicted model, not a curated record.